Molecule: long non-coding RNA, 1369 nt
Organism: Phyllopteryx taeniolatus (common seadragon)
Lineage: Eukaryota; Metazoa; Chordata; Actinopteri; Syngnathiformes; Syngnathidae
Exons: 4
Source: RefSeq, a predicted model, not a curated record
CAGACAGGAAGUCAAGCGGCGUAACCUCAGGAAGCAAAUGUGGUUGGAAUUGGAAUACAACUUGUUUGAAAGCUUGGCAUUCUGAAAGAUUCAUCAAGCCUUUGCGUGACAAGAAAACAUUAUUCCACUUUGACGACAACGGCCUUUGGAAUGAAUAAAAACUCUUGGCUGGGAUGAAGUUUCCACUUCUACAUCUGAGUCACAAGGAGAAGAAUAAUGCUGCCCGGACGAUUACCUGAGUGGAAGUCAAUGUGGAUGCAGCUCCCCUUCUCAUAUCCAUCAUGUCAUGUUGCAUUGCAAAUGAGGUCUGAUGUACUUUCUGUGGAAUGAAGUGGAAAGUAACACACACACAACUACAGUAAUACCUCGACUUGCCCGCAGGACCAGUUGGUCCCUUGAAGCCCCUCUGUCCUUCAUCUCCUUUGGCUCCAUUCAUUCCCUGCUGCCCACGAGGACCUAGCUCGCCAUCUGCGCCCUGAAACACGCAAAGCCGGAUCAACACUGCGAAACAAACCAAAGGAUCCACUGCGGAUGCACACUGAUGCUGUGUAUUGGGAGUUAUGGCGGCGUACAAGCAUUCCUGGCUGGCCCACGGGUCCUUGAAUUCCAAUAGGUCCCGGAGGUCCCUAAAAAGCAGACCGACUGUUAAAUACUUUCGCUGAAGACAUGAUUAAAAGCCAUCUGCUCAUUAUCCCGGCGGGGUGCAUUGUACAGACAAACUGUUAUCAUAAUGAAUUAUCCCAAACCAAUUAUGAGCCAGGAUGUCCUCUGCCUCCUGCUGAUGCAAGUCACAAAUGGAAUUCAUACUCACUGCUUCUCCUUUGUCUCCCUUGCUUCCCUUCUGGCCCGGUCCUCCUGUCUCACCCUACGGAUACAGAUGCACUCAUGUCAACACAAACACACAGUCUUCAUUGGCACACAUAGGGCUACUGAAGUAGAUGAGUUCUUGUUCCUGGAGCUAUACAAAACGUAGAUUUUUGUCAAACAGCUAAUAUUGGAUGCAGUGUAACUAUUGGUACCUAUUCCAAGCCCAAAAUGAGACGGGUAUGUUCCCAAACAGGUUUUUACCCAAACAGAACCUUUGACGAUACCACUUUAGUGGUGAGUCAUUGUACCCUUCAAAGUGCAAUGUUAUGUCCGUCAGUCAGGGUUGAAUACCUUGUCUCCGUCCUCCCCUGGAGGCCCAGGUGGUCCUACAGGUCCUGGCAGCCCAAAAGGUCCUUGUUCCCCGUCAUGCCCGGCCAUCCCGGCGGGGCCUUUCUCUCCCUUGGAAACAAUGAAAGCGCACACAAUCGAGGUUAUCGUUAUGCAUCGGAUCAAAUUGGGCGCGUAAACUCAAUUCAGAGUGUUUUUGGAGUCUUACUGGUUC